Long non-coding RNA from Solanum dulcamara, 907 nucleotides. RefSeq lists it as uncharacterized. NCBI's taxonomy places the organism in Eukaryota, Viridiplantae, Streptophyta, Magnoliopsida, Solanales, Solanaceae. The record is from RefSeq and is a predicted model, not a curated record. The transcript is spliced from 2 exons.
UAUAAUGGUGUUCAAUAUUUCUUGGACUUUGCUUACACUGUUGGAGAUCCUCAAGGCGAAGAAAUCCAGUGUCCUUGUGCAAAGUGUUGUAAUAUCUGUUGGUAUCGAAAGAAUGGAAUAUAUGAUCAUCUAAUAUGCUAUGGAUUUGUUGAAGGUUAUACAAGAUGGAUUAAUCAUGGGGAAUGGGAUUUUGUGAUGAAGGUUGAUAGUGACAUAGAUGAUGAAGUUAACUCAAACGUCAACAUUGAUGGUAAACCAGUGAUAAAAAGUUAUCUAAAAAUAGACGAAGAAAUCAGCAAAUUCAAACGGCAAUAAUUAAAGGAAGAAGUAAGAGAAUUACAUCAUUUUAUGAGUGGUGCAAAACAACCCUGUAUUGGAUGUUCAGGACGUGGCUAAGUAUUCCAGAUCUAACCUACUUUCUCGGGCUGAUGCAAAUAGUGCAGGGGACAUAAGUGGUCAAAACCUUUCCCGUUCCUCUGAAUCAACUCAUUAGCCAUGAAAAGAUUGACUAGUGUGCCUACAAAGCGGCUGGAUAGUAGUGUCCAAAGUAUUCUCAAUACCUUUGAACUGAUAGAACUUGGAAGACUGGUCUGGGGGCGAUUCAUCUGUGACAGAAUAAUUCCAUGAAGGACCAAGAAACUUAUGAUGUAAGUUUUCAGAAUGCUAAGACUGCUACUUGAAAUGCAUAAGAGGAAAGAGUUAUGAUGGGUCACCUAUACUUGUUAGCGUAGUCGAGGGUAAACAUACAUUUGAGUUUUUAUGUGCACACCUCUGUUUUUGAGACAAUAGAGCAAGUAGGGCAAAUCCCAAAGACUUCUGUGGUAGACUAUGGACAAAUUCCAGAUAUGUUGCUCAUAUACUUGUUUAAUUAUAAAUUCUAUUUCAAUGCGAGAUUGAUUUUACUUGA